CAUGGUACUACUAGGAAAAGGGCUUUCAACAGCUCCUGGUAUAAGGACAAUUCAUGGCUUGAAUAUUCUACAAUCCUCAGAUGCCACCACUGUACAGAAGCCACUUGACAGCUGACAUUUGAUCUUCAACACUCAACAAUACAAGAGGCAGCAAAGCACACUGAUUCAUCCAGCUUCUGUAUGAAAGAUGACUCCCAACAAUCAAUGGAGCUGUCUACACAAAGUCAGGUCAGGCUUUAUUUAUCCUAAGCCUCGGUUAUUUCUGUAUUAAAUAAUAAACUCAAGACAGGUACAAAAUGAAAAUACAUGAGUAACUCUGUUGCUUUAUGAAUCGUACAUGUCUUAAAUAAAUACAUAUUAAAGUUAUACCCUUAUGUAAAUUAAUGUAAACUAUUCACAAAACAUACUGUAUAUUUGUACAUGAUGCCUGGACAAAGUCAAUGCCUCUUCUGGCUGCUCAAAACCUCAAAGAUUUGUCUUCUUUAUGGUACGUACACAUAUUGACAUCUUGAUAACACAUACUUCUAAUCAAAAACUUCAGUAGCCCCUUAUCCCAUGAAUUAAGAUAUCAUUGUUUCAGAACCUGAAUUCACAGUACAAAAAUAUACUAAGCCUUCAUGAAUUCACCAUCAGUACUAUCUACAGUUUGAUCAUCAUUAAGUAUAUGAUCAGCAGUAGACUUACGACAGUCUUGGAUAUGUCAAACACAUUUUGAGUCCAUCCACUCUCUUCAUCACCUUUACAAAUCAAUUUGGCACUUAGGCACUAGAACACUAUACUAGCACACCUCAUAAACAUAAAACAAUGAAGUAAUGAACCGUUGAAGCGUUUAGCUAUUUGUGUAAUUUAUUACAUCCUGUGGAAGGUCCACCACCUUGUGAGAAAGUUUCCUCUGAAACAGAUGAGUUGCACAAUAUCGC
This 920-nucleotide long non-coding RNA is filed under the name Oncorhynchus kisutch (coho salmon). RNAcentral's name for it is "lncRNA (ENSOKIG00005002479.1)". Lineage: Eukaryota; Metazoa; Chordata; Actinopteri; Salmoniformes; Salmonidae. The record is from RNAcentral.